GUCAAUUAUCUUUAGUUCCUUGCUUCCUCUGGACGACUGAGCCAUUUGUGGAAGCUGAAUAAUCCGUAAGGAGCAACCAAUG
Molecule: regulatory RNA element, 82 nt
Organism: Vibrio azureus NBRC 104587
Lineage: Bacteria; Pseudomonadati; Pseudomonadota; Gammaproteobacteria; Vibrionales; Vibrionaceae
Rfam family: RpsF leader
About the family: Conserved and widely distributed to many bacterial species RNA structure. It precedes operon containing rpsF, which encodes ribosomal protein S6. The motif also precedes operon containing rpsR, which encodes ribosomal protein S18.
Source: Rfam